GUAGGUGAACCUGCGGAAGGAUCAUUAUCGAACAACGGAUUGUCGCUGGCUAGGUUGAUUCUAGCAUGUGCA
RNAcentral lists this ribosomal RNA (72 nucleotides) under Leccinum carpini. Its description in RNAcentral is "partial 18S ribosomal RNA". Lineage: Eukaryota; Fungi; Basidiomycota; Agaricomycetes; Boletales; Boletaceae. The record is from RNAcentral.